RNAcentral lists this long non-coding RNA (991 nucleotides) under Lactuca sativa (garden lettuce). Its description in RNAcentral is "long non-coding RNA (LSAT_LNC004682)". Lineage: Eukaryota; Viridiplantae; Streptophyta; Magnoliopsida; Asterales; Asteraceae. The record is from RNAcentral.
AAUACGUGUUAGGAGGAUGGCAUAUCACUCCAAGUUCUACUUGUUGAUGCAACUUUUAGUUCUUAUCAUUAUUGAUUUAGUGGAACAUAGUUAAUUUGUGUAUAAUAUGUUUUUCAUAGUAAUGCAUAAUAGUUGCUAACACUUUCUAGUCAACCUUUGUUAUAAAUAUUGGCUCAAGGGGCCAUGAGAAACAGUUGUCUAGCUACUUGGUUACAUAAAUUAACCAUACUUAGGAGACGAUAUUAUCUGAUAAUAUAUCACAUAAUAACUCAUGGGCUUUAGCAUUGCAAAUUAAAUAUAAAAGGGUUGCUUUUUUUUAUAGAAAAGCUAAUCAUUCGCUAUCAAGGAUUAAUUUAAUAAAUAAUGGCCAAGAAAGACCUACUUUUACCAUAAUGUGCCACUGAUUGGUGGCUAACUGCGUCACACACAGAGCUGCGAGUCCUGAAAAGCAAGAAACAGUAGAGAGGGAUAUAUUUAGUUUAAUACUCUUACCUUUCCAUAAGAAAUAGCUUUUUCAUCAAAAAGUUACGAAUUUAGAAAUUAUUGUAUCCUAUUGAUUUCUAAAUUGGCACAAACUCAUCAGUUUUUGAAGGAAAUGAUAAACAAAGAAGAUACACAUACCUUAUCAGAUUGUCUCUUCAACCUGCACUUCCCACUAAAGCUUAGUAAGGAUGUUCUCGGUUUAGACUCGAAACUUAUAAGCCCGCAUAUUUAUUGCGGUUUGUGUAGUUUGAUAAACAUUGUAUGUAGUUUGAUAAACAACGUGCCCUUCGAUUACAACAAGAGAAAACGACGAGUAUGAAGGUAGAACAACUCGUCUGCUAGAGGUCACACACACAGGGUCGUGUGCCUCUGAUCUUGUCAUUAGGGUUGGGAAAGAAGCCACAGUCGGCGGCAAUCGGUUGGAUUCCAGUCAACUAGGAAGAAACCCGGUGGGUUUAGGUUAAGUACGGGAGGGCAUCAUAUUAUGUAAUGUUUAAUUUGACUAAUU